UAGAGUUUGAUCCUGGCUCACAGCGAACGCUGGCGGCAGGCUUAACACAUGCAAGUCGAGCGGGCAUAGCAAUAUGUCAGCGGCAGACGGGUGAGUAACGCGUGGGAACGUACCUUUUGGUUCGGAACAACUGAGGGAAACUUCAGCUAAUACCGGAUAAGCCCUUACGGGGAAAGAUUUAUCGCCGAAAGAUCGGCCCGCGUCUGAUUAGCUAGUUGGUGGGGUAAUGGCUCACCAAGGCGACGAUCAGUAGCUGGCCUGAGAGGAUGAUCAGCCACAUUGGGACUGAGACACGGCCCAAACUCCUACGGGAGGCAGCAGUGGGGAAUAUUGGACAAUGGGCGCAAGCCUGAUCCAGCCAUGCCGCGUGAGUGAUGAAGGCCCUAGGGUUGUAAAGCUCUUUUGUGCGGGAAGAUAAUGACGGUACCGCAAGAAUAAGCCCCGGCUAACUUCGUGCCAGCAGCCGCGGUAAUACGAAGGGGGCUAGCGUUGCUCGGAAUCACUGGGCGUAAAGGGUGCGUAGGCGGGUCUUUAAGUCAGGGGUGAAAUCCUGGAGCUCAACUCCANNANUGCCUUUGAUACUGAAGAU
This 589-nucleotide ribosomal RNA is filed under the name bacterium enrichment culture clone SC-1_38. RNAcentral describes it as "bacterial SSU rRNA". It matches the Rfam family "Bacterial small subunit ribosomal RNA", at positions 1 to 640 of the family's 1533-position model. The record is from RNAcentral.